This 293-nucleotide ribosomal RNA is filed under the name uncultured bacterium. RNAcentral describes it as "partial 16S ribosomal RNA". It matches the Rfam family "Bacterial small subunit ribosomal RNA", at positions 505 to 796 of the family's 1533-position model. The record is from RNAcentral.
GUGCCAGCAGCCGCGGUAAUACGUAGGGGGCGAGCGUUGUCCGAAGUUACUGGGCGUAAAGCGCGCGUAGGCGGGGGAUUAAGUGAGAGGUGAAAGGCUGGGGCUCAACCUCAUGCAGUGCCUCUCAUACUGGUCUUCUUGAGGGCGGUAGGGAGAAGUGGAAUGGCUGGUGUAGCGGUGAAAUGCGUAGAUAUCAGUCGGAACACCGGUGGCGAAGGCGGCUUCUUGGGCCGUUCCUGACGCUGAGGCGCGAAAGCUGGGGGAGCGAACGGGAUUAGAAACCCUCGUAGUCC